Molecule: transfer RNA, 61 nt
Filed under: Stenocranus matsumurai
Lineage: Eukaryota; Metazoa; Arthropoda; Insecta; Hemiptera; Delphacidae
Description: tRNA-Trp
Source: RNAcentral
AAGGAUUUAAGUUAAAUUAAACUAGUAACCUUCAAAGUUGAAAAUAUAAAUUUAAGCCUUA